AACGAACGCUGGCGGUAGGCUUAACACAUGCAAGUCGAGCGCCCCGCAAGUGUAGCGGCAGCCGGGUGAGUAACGCGUGGGAACGUACCUUUUGGUUCGGAACAACUCCGGGAAACUGGAGCUAAUACCGGAUAAGCCCUAACGGGGAAAGAUUUAUCGCCGAAAGAUCGGCCCGGGUCUGAUUAGCUCGUUGGGGAGGUAACGGCUCACCAAGGCGACGAUAAGUAGCUGGUCUGAGAGGAUGAUCAGCCACACUGGGACUGAGACACGGCACAGACUCAUGCAGGAGGCAGAAAUGGGGAAUAUUGUCCAACGGGAGCAAGACUGAUCCAGCCAUGCCGCGUGAGUGAUGAAGGCCUUAAGGUUGUAAAGCUCUUUUGUCCGGGAAGAUAAUGACUGUACCGGAAGAAUAAGCCCCGGCUAACUUCGUG
RNAcentral lists this ribosomal RNA (431 nucleotides) under uncultured bacterium. Its description in RNAcentral is "partial 16S ribosomal RNA". It matches the Rfam family "Bacterial small subunit ribosomal RNA", at positions 29 to 507 of the family's 1533-position model. The record is from RNAcentral.